UAGAGUUUGAUCCUGGCUCAAGAUGAACUCUAUCGAUAGGCUUAACACAUGCAAGUCGAGGGGCAGCACUGGCAGCAAUGCUUGGUGGCGACCGGCGCACGGGUGCAUAACACGUAUGCAACCUGCCUGUAAGUGUGGGAUAGCCUCCUGAAAGGGAGAUUAAUACUGCAUAACAUGUUUUUACUGCAUGGUAUUUACAUCAAACAUUUAUGGCUUACGGAUGGGCAUGCGUUCCAUUAGGCAGUUGGUGUGGUAAUGGCUCACCAAACCUACGAUGGAUAGGGGUUCUGAGAGGAAGGUCCCCCACACUGGAACUGAGACACGGUCCAGACUCCUACGGGAGGCAGCAGUGAGGAAUAUUGGUCAAUGGUCGCAAGACUGAACCAGCCAAGUCGCGUGAAGGACGACGGCCCUAUGGGUUGUAAACUUCUUUUACAGGGGAAUAAAGUGCGCCACGUGUGGUGUUUUGUAUGUACUUUGUGAAUAAGGAUCGGCUAACUCCGUGCCAGCAGCCGCGGUAAUACGGAGGAUCCGAGCGUUAUCCGGAUUUAUUGGGUUUAAAGGGUGCGUAGGCGGGAUGAUAAGUCAGCGGUGAAAGUUUUCGGCUCAACCGGAAAAUUGCCGUUGAAACUGUUGUUCUUGAGUGCAGAAGAGGUAGGCGGAAUUCGUUGUGUAGCGGUGAAAUGCGUAGAUAUAACGAAGAACUCCGAUUGCGUAGGCAGCUUACCAUGUUGCAACUGACGCUGAGGCACGAAAGUGUGGGUAUCAAACAGGAUUAGAUACCCUGGUAGUCCACACAGUA
RNAcentral lists this ribosomal RNA (802 nucleotides) under uncultured bacterium. RNAcentral's name for it is "bacterial SSU rRNA". It matches the Rfam family "Bacterial small subunit ribosomal RNA", at positions 1 to 804 of the family's 1533-position model. The record is from RNAcentral.